UCAAGCUACUAAGGGCAUACGGCGAAUGCCUUGGCACUAAGAGCCGAUGAAGGACGUGGUAAGCUGCGAAAAGCUACGGGGAGCCGCAAGCAGGCUUUGAUCCGUAGAUGUCCGAAUGGGGAAACCCACCAUCCGUCAUGGGAUGGUAUCCUUCGGGAGGGGAACCCGGUGAACUGAAACAUCUAAGUAGCCGGAGGAAGAGAAAUCAAACGAGAUGCCCACAGUAGCGGCGAGCGAAGAGGGCAGAGGGCAAACCGAGGAGCUACGGCUCUUCGGGGUUGAGGACUGCAUUUAGUCUUAAUGGUCUAUCCGAACUACCUGGAAAGGUAGGCAACACAGUGUAAAAGCCACGUAGGUUAAAGACCAGAGAGAUGAGCAGUAUCCAGAGUACCACGAGGCACGAGGAAUCUUGUGGGAAGCCGGGGGGACCACCCUCCAACCCUAAACACUGAAUGGCGACCGAUAGCGCAUAGUACCGUGAGGGAAAGGUGAAAAGAACCCCGGGAGGGGAGUGAAAGAGAACCUGAAACCGUAUGUCUACAAGCAGUCGGAGCGAAAGCGACGGCGUGCCUAUUGAAGAAUGAACCAACGAGUUACGUGCACUAGCGAGGUUAAGUGGAAGACACGGAGCCGAAGCGAAAGCGAGUCUUAAGAGGGCGGAUAGUUAGUGUACGUAGACCCGAAACCGCAGUGAUCUACCCAUGUCCAGGUUGAAGCGCAGGUAAAAUUGCGUGGAGGACCGAACCUGUGAGCGUUGAAAAGCUUUAGGAUGAGAUGUGGGUAGAGGUGAAAUUCCAAUCGAACGCGGAGAUAGCUGGUUCUCCCCGAAAUAGCUUUAGGGCUAGCCUCAAGUAGUAAGUAUAGGCGGUAGAGCACUGAUCGGGCUAGGGGCCAUAAAGGUUACCGAACCCUGUCAAACUCCGAAUGGUUAUACUGUAGAGCUUGGGAGUCAGACUACGAGUGAUAAGAUCCGUGGUCAAAAGGGAAACAGCCCAGACCACCAGCUAAGGUCCCCAAUGUCGUACUAAGUGGAAAAGGAUGUGGGGUCUCUAAAACAACCAGGAUGUUGGCUUAGAAGCAGCCACCAUUUAAAGAGUGCGUAAUAGCUCACUGGUCGAGAGACCCUGCGCCGAAGAUUACCGGGGCUAAAGUACGAAACCGAAGCUGUGGCUACGACGUAAGUCGUGGGGUAGGGGAGCGUUCUGUGAGGGCUGAAGUCGUUCUGUAAGGAACGGUGGACUUCACAGAAGUGAGAAUGUUGGUAUGAGUAGCGAAAAGAAUGGUGAGAAUCCAUUCCACCGAAAGCAUAAGGAUUCCUGGGCAACGAUCGUCGUCCCAGGGUAAGUCGGGACCUAAUCCGAGGCAUGGAGCGUAGGAGAUGGACAACUGGCAGAUAUUCCAGUACCGGUAAUGAUUGUUUGAGCGAUGGAGUGACACAGGAGGGCAGGCAGGCAGGAGAUUGGUUGUUCCUGUACAAGCGUGUAGGGUGGAACGUAGGCAAAUCCGCGUUCUGUGAGCCUGAGGCGUGAUGUGGAGGUUCCGGAAACGGAACCGAAGCUGCUGACCCCACACUGUCGAGAAAAGCUUCUAGUUAGAGAAUUACCGCCCGUACCGUAAACCGACACAGGUAUGCGGGGAGAGAAUCCUAAGGUGCGCGGGAGAACCCUCGUUAAGGAACUCGGCAAAAUGUACCCGUAACUUCGGGAUAAGGGUAGCCGCUGUUGUGAAGUCUGAACAGAUGGAGCAUGAGGCGGUCGCAGAGAAGAGGCCCAAGCGACUGUUUACCACAAACACAGGUGCCUGCUAAAGAGAAAUCUGACGUAUAGGUGCUGACACCUGCCCAGUGCCGGAAGGUUAAGGAAGGAUGUCCGGAGCAAUCCAAAGCAUUCGACCGAAGCCCCGGUGAACGGCGGCCGUAACUAUAACGGUCCUAAGGUAGCGAAAUUCCUUGUCGGGUAAG
This 1960-nucleotide ribosomal RNA is filed under the name human gut metagenome. Its description in RNAcentral is "bacterial LSU rRNA". It matches the Rfam family "Bacterial large subunit ribosomal RNA", at positions 3 to 1980 of the family's 2925-position model. The record is from RNAcentral.